RNAcentral lists this transfer RNA (364 nucleotides) under uncultured Microcystis sp. RNAcentral describes it as "partial 16S-23S ribosomal RNA intergenic spacer". The stretch from base 135 to 208 matches the Rfam family "tRNA". Lineage: Bacteria; Bacillati; Cyanobacteriota; Cyanophyceae; Chroococcales; Microcystaceae. The record is from RNAcentral.
AAAGGGAGACCUAAUUCAGGUAGGAGACGAAAAAAAGUAGUCCCUACCAAGAAUCAAUCCCAAAAGGUCGGAGCGAGGCAAAAUUGGCUUUCAAACUAGGUUCUGGGUUCACAUAAGACCUGAAUCAGGAACAAGGGCUAUUAGCUCAGGUGGUUAGAGCGCACCCCUGAUAAGGGUGAGGUCCCUGGUUCGAGUCCAGGAUGGCCCACCUGCGCAGGUGGCAAAAACAAAGAAAAGAAGCUCCGAAUCAGCACCUUAUCUUACUCAUAUAGUAAGAGAGAAUGCUGGCUCUGAGUUCAGAGUCCAGAGGAACCUUGAAAACUGCAUAGAGCUAGGUGAAAAAGCCAAAAAAGAAGACCGCAAG